UACGUAGGUGGCAAGCGUUGCCCGGAAUUAUUGGGCGUAAAGCGCGCGCAGGCGGUCCUUUAAGUCUGAUGUGAAAGCCCACGGCUCAACCGUGGAGGGUCAUUGGAAACUGGGGGACUUGAGUACAGAAGAGAAGAGUGGAAUUCCACGUGUAGCGGUGAAAUGCGUAGAGAUGUGGGGGAACACCAGUGGCGAAGGCGACUCUUUGGUCUGUAACUGACGCUGAGGCGCGAAAGCGUGGGGAGCAAACAGG
RNAcentral lists this ribosomal RNA (253 nucleotides) under uncultured bacterium. Its description in RNAcentral is "partial 16S ribosomal RNA". It matches the Rfam family "Bacterial small subunit ribosomal RNA", at positions 524 to 776 of the family's 1533-position model. The record is from RNAcentral.